This 343-nucleotide unclassified non-coding RNA is filed under the name soil metagenome. RNAcentral describes it as "partial contains 5.8S ribosomal RNA, internal transcribed spacer 2, and large subunit ribosomal RNA". The stretch from base 1 to 120 matches the Rfam family "5.8S ribosomal RNA", at positions 35 to 154 of the family's 154-position model. The record is from RNAcentral.
GAUGAAGAACGUAGUGAAAUGCGAUAAGUAAUGUGAAUUGCAGAAUUCAGUGAAUCAUCGAAUCUUUGAACGCACAUUGCGCCCGCUAGUAUUCUGGCGGGCAUGCCUGUCCGAGCGUCAUUUCAACCCUCAAGCCCCCGGGCUUGGUGUUGGGGAUCGGCGAGCCUCCGCGCCCGCCGUCCCCUAAAUCUAGUGGCGGCCUCGCUGUAGCUUCCUCUGCGUAGUAGCACACCUCGCACUGGGAAACAGCGCGGCCACGCCGUUAAACCCCCAACUUCUGAACGUUUGACCUCGGAUCAGGUAGGAAUACCCGCUGAACUUAAGCAUAUCAAUAAGCGGAGGA